RNAcentral lists this ribosomal RNA (253 nucleotides) under uncultured bacterium. RNAcentral describes it as "partial 16S ribosomal RNA". It matches the Rfam family "Bacterial small subunit ribosomal RNA", at positions 524 to 776 of the family's 1533-position model. The record is from RNAcentral.
GACGGAGGGUGCUAGCGUUGUUCGGAAUUACUGGGCGUAAAGGGCGCGUAGGCGGCCUUUCAAGUCGGGUGUGAAAGCCCGGGGCUCAACCCCGGAACGGCACCCGAGACUGGGAGGCUAGAGACCGGAAGAGGUGGGUGGAAUACCCAGUGUAGAGGUGAAAUUCGUAGAUAUUGGGUGGAACACCGGUGGCGAAAGCGGCUCACUGGUCCGGUUCUGACGCUGAGGCGCGAAAGCGUGGGGAGCAAACAGG